RNAcentral lists this ribosomal RNA (253 nucleotides) under uncultured bacterium. RNAcentral describes it as "partial 16S ribosomal RNA". It matches the Rfam family "Bacterial small subunit ribosomal RNA", at positions 524 to 776 of the family's 1533-position model. The record is from RNAcentral.
UACAGAGGGGGCAAGCGUUGUUCGGAAUUACUGGGCGUAAAGGGCGCGUAGGCGGCCUUCUAAGUCGAACGUGAAAUCCCCGGGCUCAACCCGGGAACUGCGUCCGAUACUGGAAGGCUUGAAUCCGGGAGAGGGAUGUGGAAUUCCAGGUGUAGCGGUGAAAUGCGUAGAUAUCUGGAGGAACACCUGCGGUGUAGACGGCUUUCUGGACCAUUGCUGACGCUGAGACACGAAAGCGUGGGUAGCAAACAGG